GUCCACGCCGUAAACGAUGGGCACUAGGUGCUUUGGGGAGCGACCCUCAGGGUACCGGCGCUAACGCAUGAAGUGCCCCGCCUGGGGAGUACGGCCGCAAGGCUGAAACUCAAAGGAAUUGACGGGGGCCCGCACAAGCGGUGGAGCAUGUGGUUUAAUUCGACGCAACGCGCAGAACCUUACCUAGGCUUGACAUGCACGGGACAGUCCUUGGAAACAGGGGCCUCUCUUCGGAGCCCGUGCACAGGUGCUGCAUGGCUGUCGU
RNAcentral lists this ribosomal RNA (265 nucleotides) under uncultured bacterium. RNAcentral describes it as "partial 16S ribosomal RNA". It matches the Rfam family "Bacterial small subunit ribosomal RNA", at positions 793 to 1055 of the family's 1533-position model. The record is from RNAcentral.